GGGAUGGGGGACCCGCAGCCCCGAGCAGCGCCACAUCUUGCUUUCAGACCUGGCGAGAUGACAGGCCCUUCGUCUGAGCAAAGGAGGCAAUGUGGGAACAGAGGGUCCCCAGAGCAAGGGACACCCAUGAUGCCUCCUAAAGCCAGAGGAAGGAAGACUGGCUGAGGAGCCGGGCAGUGAGUUGGGUGGGCAGGGACACCACAGAGCCUGCAGAGGAAGCGGAUGGGAGGCCACCAAGGAGGAGGGCUGGCCUCCAGCCAAGACUUCCAGGGUUCUCACGGUGUCCACCUGGGAGUCUGCAGCAGCCCGGCCCUCUCAGCUCGGCACAGCGUGUCCAGUGUCACCUGGAGGGCAUCAGGGUUGGUACCUUUAUUGUAGGCUCCAGAAAGUCCCAUGGAGAGUUAAGGGGGUCAGAAGUGAGUCUGGUGACCUUGUCCCUUGACUCUACCCUUCUCUCCCCCACAUCAGCUCAGCUGCUGUCAGAUCGCUCUCGAAACCCCCAGCACCUGACUCAGUGCUGGGCCCAGAGCAGGGGACCUUCCCGACAUCUGCGGGGCCCCUGUGCUGUCCCCACACAUGAUCAGAUGAGCAGGGAUGGUGGCACUCCCUGGACUGUUCGUGUCACCCCUACAGCAACCCCAGGGGACUGGAACUGCACCCCUUUUCACAGAAAAAGAAACAGGGAGGAAAGGGCUUGCCCAGGGUCACAUGGUGACCACGGCCCUGACUCUACACCCUGUCCCUGAUCCAAGACAUUUCUGACACCUCACGUAGCCGUCUAGGCCUCCAGUGGACCCUGUGCCAUUGAAGUCCGGGGCUACAGACGGAACUUCUGUGACAAAGUAUCACAAACUGAGUGCCGUAGCCCAGCGGGCUGUUUGUCUCCAGCUCCGAAGGCCAGCAGACUGACCAGGGUACCUGGAGCUGUGUCCCCCUGACAGCCAAGUCCAGUCCUUCCUCACCCCUCCCCAGCUGCUGCUGGUGGCCGUCAGCCCGGGCCUUCAUGGGUAUCCAGCCAUAUUGGAUCCAGGCCCCCUCUGCCCCCCCCAUUAGUCUGUCCUCAUCUGAACUGGUGACAUCCGCAGCAACCGCGUGUCCAAAUCGUCACGUUCUGUGGUACUCAGUGUGAGGACUUCAACAUAUCAUAUGGUUCUGGAAGACACACCUCAAUCCAUAACAGAUGAAUCUGGGGAAAAAAAGAAAAAAAACCCAAAACUAUGCAGGUCAUAUGUCCAAGUCUGAGAUUCAGAAAAUAUGGCCUUGGGGCUGGCUCAGGGGUAGGCAUGUGCUGAGUUCAAUCCCCAGCUCAAAAAAGAAAGAAAAAGAAAGCAUGGGCCUAAUAUAUCUGUCUGCUACACAAAUAUUAAAGUACUUUGCUUUAAUGGGUACUAUAUAAAUGUUUGAGAGAUACUUGA
Molecule: long non-coding RNA, 1415 nt
Organism: Marmota flaviventris (yellow-bellied marmot)
Lineage: Eukaryota; Metazoa; Chordata; Mammalia; Rodentia; Sciuridae
Source: RefSeq, a predicted model, not a curated record